Kogia breviceps (pygmy sperm whale) is the source of this 1716-nucleotide non-coding RNA. The record is from RefSeq and is a predicted model, not a curated record. NCBI's taxonomy places the organism in Eukaryota, Metazoa, Chordata, Mammalia, Artiodactyla, Physeteridae.
UAGUCGUGGCGGCAGUCAUGGCGGCUAUGUCGGGUUCAGUUCGCCUGCAUCGCUGCAUGGUGUCGCCGGCUGGGAGGCACAGCGCCUCUCUGAUCUUCCUGCACGGCUCAGGUGAUUCUGGACAAGGAUUGAGAACGUGGAUCAAGCAAGUUUUAAAUCAAGAUUUAACAUUCCAACACAUAAAAGUUAUUUAUCCAACAGCUCCUCCCAGGCCAUAUACUCCUUUGAAAGGAGAAUUCUCCAAUGUAUGGUUUGACAGAUUUAAAAUAUCUAAUGACUGCCCAGAACACCUUGAAUCAAUUGAUGUAAUGUGUCAGGUGCUUACAGAUUUGAUUGAUGGUGAAGUAAAAAGUGGUAUCAAGAAGAACAGGAUAUUAGUAGGAGGAUUUUCUAUGGGAGGGUGCAUGGCAAUGCAUUUAGCAUACAGAAAUCAUCAAGAUGUGGCAGGAGUAUUUGCUCUUUCUAGUUUUCUGAAUAAAGCAUCUGCUGUUUACCAGGCUCUUCAGAAAAGUGAUGGUGUCCUUCCUGAAUUAUUUCAGUGUCAUGGUACCGCAGAUGAGUUAGUUCUUCAUUCUUGGGGUGAAGAGACAAACUCAGUGUUAAAAUCUCUAGGAGUGAGCACAAAGUUUCAUAGUUUCCCAGGUGUCUACCAUGAGUUAAGCAAAGCUGAGCUAGAAAAACUGAAGUCAUGGAUUCUUACAAAGCUACCAGACUGAGUAGUUCAUACUUUCCUUACACAAAUCUGUUGGUUAGUACUCUGCUGAAGAUUUGAGGGGGACCCUCUGAAGAUCUCUGGCAGUCUUGCAGCUGUCCAAUACUCUAUCAUAUGAACUCGAAGCUCCUUGACUUUCUGGACUCCCAGCUCUGUCUCCUCCCUCAGCUCCAUCUGGGUCUCCGUCUCCAUGCUGUAGCCUUGAAACUCUUCACACAAGGAGGACCUCUAUUCCAAUGUUGAAUAAAAGUAACAAGAGUGGACAACCUUGUUUCCAUUCCCAACAUCGGGAAAUCUUUCAACAAAUCACAACUAAAUAUAAUAUGAGGAAACAGGCUCCUGAAGAAUAAGCUUCAACAAGUCAUUUGCCUGAGGUCGAUCACCCAGCCAGGUAAUAAAUUGUAAAGAAGAGGUUUGAAGCUAGACGGAUAUGACUCCAAACUCGUGUUCUUUCAACCAUUUGGAGGCUCUGAAACCUAAGCUCCAUCAGAAUCAUCUGGGGUCCCCAUAUAUAUUUCUGAAUCCCAUUCUGGAUUAUUUUAAAAAGAAUUUUUUUGUGCUGGGGCCCAGGAAUCUAUUUUAACAGGGGUUCCAUGUGAUUUUUGAUAUGUAGCUAGGUUAGGAAUAACUAAAACACAACACACUAAUUUUCCAACUUAUAAUACAGUAACUGGUGCAAAACGCUUAAUAAAUAAUCAUUCAUUUGACAAAUAUUUAUUAAGCAUCUACUAUGUCUUUGACAUUGUUAUGGGCAUGGCAGUUGCAAAAAUCCCAGCUCUCAUGAAGCUUCCAUUCUGGUGUGGGCGUAGAGGGAGGUCACAGGAGACGACGGAAACAUGACGAAUAAGCAAAUUACGUGUUAUAUGACGAGAUGGUAAGGGCUAAGGAAAACAGUAGCGAAGUGUAAGGGGCUCGGCGGGGGUUAGGUCAGGGUUGCGUUCCCCAUCAAGGCGACAUUUAAAGGAGAUGAGGAAUGAGCCAUGUGCAUCUCUGUGAAUAUUAAC